GUGUGAAGACCUGAGGUAUCAGGGGUAGGGGUUGCUCUGCUUGUGUAAGUCCCAUAGUGUGAAGGCCAGAGAACCAAGAGAUGGUCAAGAAGAGAGAGUAAGUGUCCAAUGUCCCAGCUCAAGAAGAGAGAGAGCAUCACGACCUGUGCAGACUCCCCAGCAUCAUAACAGGAAGGUCCCACGAUCACGAGCACAUUGCCUUCAGCAUCCAGCACUGAAUAUGGUGAAUUGCACUCUGAAGAGCUUCCUAAGCUUGUAAGAAAGUGAUUCUGAAAAGCUCAACAUUUUGGUAGAAUGGAGAGAUUUGACAUUGCUUCUGCUCCAAAAGCAAAAGACUUGGGCCUGGCGUAAAGGAGAUGGGACUCACACCCAAGAGGAUGCAUUUCCAUACACCCAUUUCUGAAAUAUGAAGAGGUGUCCAGUCUGUUUGAUUCAUAGCUGCCUGUUCCACAACUGCAGAUACAGUAAUUGAUAACCGAGACCAAGUUCUCAUCCCCAUCUCCCAGGGCUGGAACUGGGGCUGUGUUUGGUUCUCAUAAGAUCAGUUCCAGUUUUAGAAACUGAGUAAAUUGUGGAGUAAAUAU
This 584-nucleotide long non-coding RNA is filed under the name Homo sapiens (human). RNAcentral describes it as "long intergenic non-protein coding RNA 1584". The record is from RNAcentral. Lineage: Eukaryota; Metazoa; Chordata; Mammalia; Primates; Hominidae.